Molecule: ribosomal RNA, 456 nt
Filed under: uncultured bacterium
Lineage: Bacteria
Description: bacterial SSU rRNA
Rfam family: Bacterial small subunit ribosomal RNA
Source: RNAcentral
AACGAACGCUGGCGGCAGGCUUAACACAUGCAAGUUGAACGGUAUUAUUUAUUAGCUUGCUAAUAGAUAAGAGAGUGGCGCACGGGUGAGUAAUACAUGGGAACAUACCCUAGAGUGGGGGACAACAGUUGGAAACGACUGCUAAUACCGCAUAACGCCUGAGGGUUAAAGAUUUAUCGCUUUAGGAACGGCCCAUGGCAGAUUAGGUAGUUGGUGGGGUAAAGGCCUACCAAGCCGACGAUCUGUAGCUGGUCUGAGAGGACGAUCAGCCACAUUGGGACUGAGACACGGCCCAGACUCCUACGGGAGGCAGCAGUGAGGAAUAUUGGGCAAUGGGCGAAAGCCUGACCCAGCAACGCCGCGUGAAGGAAGAAGGCCUUCGGGUUGUAAACUUCUUUUACCUAGGGACGAACACAAUGACGGUACCUGGAGAAAAAGACAACGGCUAACUACGUG